This 392-nucleotide ribosomal RNA is filed under the name uncultured soil bacterium. RNAcentral's name for it is "bacterial SSU rRNA". It matches the Rfam family "Bacterial small subunit ribosomal RNA", at positions 26 to 433 of the family's 1533-position model. The record is from RNAcentral.
AGAACGAACGCUGGCGGCAUGCCUAAUACAUGCAAGUCGAACGAACACUUCGGUGUUAGUGGCGCACGGGUGCGUAACGCGUGGGAAUCUGCCCUUGGGUUCGGAAUAACAGUUGGAAACGACUGCUAAUACCGGAUGAUAUCGAAAGAUCAAAGAUUUAUCGCCCAGGGAUGAGCCCGCGUAGGAUUAGCUAGUUGGUGAGGUAAAGGCUCACCAAGGCGACGAUCCGUUAGCUGGUCUGAGAGGAUGAUCGAGCCACACGUGGGACUGAGACACGGCCCAGACUCCGUACGGGAGCAGCAGUAGGGAAUAGUGGACAAGUGGGCGACGAACGCCUAGAUCCAAGCAAUGCCGCGUAGAGUGAUGAAGGUCCGUUAGGGUUAGUAAAGCUU